This 346-nucleotide ribosomal RNA is filed under the name uncultured bacterium. RNAcentral describes it as "partial 16S ribosomal RNA". It matches the Rfam family "Bacterial small subunit ribosomal RNA", at positions 338 to 681 of the family's 1533-position model. The record is from RNAcentral.
CCUACGGGAGGCUGCAGUGAGGAAUAUUGGUCAAUGGGCGAGAGCCUGAACCAGCCAAGUCGCGUGAAGGAUGACGGCCCUACGGGUUGUAAACUUCGUGUGUCAGGGAGCAAGUGAGUCCACGUGUGGUCUUAGCGAGAGAACCUGAAGAAAAAGCAGAGGCUAACUCCGUGCCAGCAGCCGCGGUACUACGGAGGAUGAGAGCGUUAUCUGGAUUUAUUGGGUUGAAAGGGUGAGUAGGCGGAAUAUCAAGUCAGCGGUAAAAAUUCGGGGCUCAACCCCGUCGUGCCGUUGAAACGGAUGUUCUUGAGUUGGCGAGAGGUAUGCGGAAUGCGUGGUGUAGCGG